RNAcentral lists this ribosomal RNA (775 nucleotides) under uncultured bacterium. RNAcentral's name for it is "bacterial SSU rRNA". It matches the Rfam family "Bacterial small subunit ribosomal RNA", at positions 9 to 771 of the family's 1533-position model. The record is from RNAcentral.
UAGUUUGAUCCUGGCUCAGGACGAACGCUGACGGUGUGCUUUAGACAUGCAAGUCGAACGAGAAAGCCCUUCGGGGUGAGUAAAGUGGCGAACGGGUGCGUAACACGUGGGUAAUCUACCCCUCGCAGAGGGACAACCGGGGGAAACCCCGGCUAAUACCUCGUACGCUCUACAAACCGCAUGGUAAGUAGAGGAAAGGUAGCUUCGGCCAUCCGGCGAGGGAUGAGCCCGCGGUACAUUAGCUAGUUGGUGAGGUAACGGCUCACCAAGGCUACGAUGUAUAGCUGGUCUGAGAGGAUGAUCAGCCACACUGGGACUGAGACACGGCCCAGACUCCUACGGGAGGCAGCAGUCGGGAAUCUUGCACAAUGGGCGAAAGCCUGAUGCAGCAACACCGUGUGAGCGAUGAAGGCCUUCGGGUCGUAAAGCUCUGUUGUUAGGGACGAAGGGCGAAGGGUUAAUAGCCCCUAGCCUGACGGUACCUUUCGAGGAAGCCCCGGCUAACUACGUGCCAGCAGCCGCGGUAAUACGUAGGGGGCGAGCGUUGUCCGGAAUUAUUGGGCGUAAAGAGCGUGUAGGCGGCCAGAUAAGUCUGCUGUGAAACCUUGGGGCUCAACCCCAAGCGUGCAGUGGAUACUGUUAGGCUAGAGGAUGGUAGAGGCGAGUGGAAUUCCCGGUGUAGCGGUGAAAUGCGCAGAUAUCGAGAGGAACACCAGUAGCGAAGGCGGCUCGCUGGGCCAUUCCUGACGCUGAGACGCGAAAGCUAGGGGAGCGA